RNAcentral lists this transfer RNA (83 nucleotides) under Sphagnurus paluster. RNAcentral's name for it is "Tephrocybe palustris tRNA". It matches the Rfam family "tRNA". From Rfam's summary of the family: Transfer RNA (tRNA) molecules are approximately 80 nucleotides in length. Their secondary structure includes four short double-helical elements and three loops (D, anti-codon, and T loops). The record is from Rfam by way of RNAcentral. Lineage: Eukaryota; Fungi; Basidiomycota; Agaricomycetes; Agaricales; Lyophyllaceae.
GGGGUCUUGGCACAGUGGUAGCGCGCAUGCUUCGCACUUCCCGUGUAUGCAUGAGGUCGUGAGUUCAAUCCUCACAGUCUCCA